UACGGGGGGAGCAAGCGUUGUUCGGAUUUACUGGGCGUAAAGGGCGCGUAGGCGGUCAGCACAAGUCAGUUGUGAAAUCUCCGGGCUUAACUCGGAAAGGUCAACUGAUACUGUGCGACUAGAGUGCGGAAGGGGCAACUGGAAUUCUCGGUGUAGCGGUGGAAUGCGUAGAUAUCGAGAGGAACACCUGCGGCGAAGGCGGCGACCUGGACAGGUACUGACACUCAACUACGAAAGCGUGGGGAGCAAACAGG
Molecule: ribosomal RNA, 254 nt
Filed under: uncultured bacterium
Lineage: Bacteria
Description: partial 16S ribosomal RNA
Rfam family: Bacterial small subunit ribosomal RNA
Source: RNAcentral